RNAcentral lists this long non-coding RNA (685 nucleotides) under Olea europaea subsp. europaea. The record is from RNAcentral. Lineage: Eukaryota; Viridiplantae; Streptophyta; Magnoliopsida; Lamiales; Oleaceae.
GUGGCAGUCAAACCAUCAACAGAAGAUACAAACUUUGAUAUAAAAUAAAAGGAAAAGCGUCAAACAAGAUAGCCAUAGUCAUAAUCAAAAUUCAAAUAUGCUGCUAUGUAGAGCUAGUACGCGGACCGACAUCUGCAGUGAAGUCGACAUGGGAGUUAGAAGGAAAAUUUCAGUCUAGGAAUUUGUGUUUCAUAAGUUCCAAUUUAGGAAUUUGUAUCAUUGUAAAUUUUGAUUUUGCCUAAUUUGCUUAUAAAGAGGGAGCCAUCAUUAGGCUUUUAUAUUACCAUUAUAAAAGAGAGAGAGAGAGGGGUUAGAGAAGAUAGAUUUGAGCUUUUUUGUUGUAAACUUUUUUUCAAUAUAGUGAAUUAUUGCAACGGAUGAAGAGGACGUAUUCUCAGAUUGAAACGAACAUUUAUAACUCUUGCGUGUCUUUAUUUCUUUUCACGAAUAUCUCGCGGUGGAAUAGAAUUCGAAUUUCUAAUUCUCAAUAAAUUAUUGGCCGAGAGAAGCUAAGCAAGUUCGGAUGAGAUGAGAUCAUAUAGUUAAGAUUUAUUUUAGGAAGGACAAUGCUACAUUUAUCUACACAUUUUUACUAAAUCUUUUACCUACACUCACAACAGGAGGGUAGGUCCCACAAGCCAGAAUUUUUAAAUGCACGCGGGGCCUGCGCGCAUGUGAGGGCAGG